GACGAACGCUGGCGGCGUGCUUAACACAUGCAAGUCGAACGGAAAGGCCCUGCUUUUGUGGGGUGCUCGAGUGGCGAACGGGUGAGUAACACGUGAGUAACCUGCCCUUGACUUUGGGAUAACUUCAGGAAACUGGGGCUAAUACCGGAUAGGAGCUCCUGCUGCAUGGUGGGGGUUGGAAAGUUUCGGCGGUUGGGGAUGGACUCGCGGCUUAUCAGCUUGUUGGUGGGGUAGUGGCUUACCAAGGCUUUGACGGGUAGCCGGCCUGAGAGGGUGACCGGCCACAUUGGGACUGAGAUACGGCCCAGACUCCUACGGGAGGCAGCAGUGGGGAAUAUUGCACAAUGGGCGGAGGCCUGAUGCAGCAACGCCGCGUGCGGGAUGACGGCCUUCGGGUUGUAAACCGCUUUCGCCUGUGACGAAGCGUGAGUGACGGUAAUGGGUAAAGAAGCACCGGCAAACUACGU
This 467-nucleotide ribosomal RNA is filed under the name uncultured bacterium. RNAcentral describes it as "partial 16S ribosomal RNA". It matches the Rfam family "Bacterial small subunit ribosomal RNA", at positions 28 to 506 of the family's 1533-position model. The record is from RNAcentral.